Molecule: ribosomal RNA, 482 nt
Filed under: uncultured bacterium
Lineage: Bacteria
Description: bacterial SSU rRNA
Rfam family: Bacterial small subunit ribosomal RNA
Source: RNAcentral
AGAGUUUGAUUCUGGCUCAGGAUUAACGCUGGCGGCGUGCCUAAUACAUGCAAGUCGAAUGGUAGCAAUACCAUGGCGAACGGGUGAGUAACACGUAGGCAACCUGCCUUUAAGCCGAGGAUAACCAUUGGAAACGAUGGAUAAUACUGGAUAGGACAUUUGAAGGCAUCUUUAGAUGUUUAAAGAUUUAUCACUUAGAGAGGGGCCUGCGGCGCAUUAGCUAGUUGGUGAGGUGAAGGCUUACCAAGGCGAUGAUGCGUAGCCGGACUGAGAGGUUGAACGGCCACAAUGGAACUGAGAACGGUCCAUACUCCUACGGGAGGCAGCAGUAGGGAAUUUUCGGCAAUGGGCGGAAGCCUGACCGAGCAACGCCGCGUGAACGAAGAAGUAUUUCGGUAUGUAAAGUUCUUUUAUUAGGGACGAAAAGACAGAUUGACGGUACCUAAUGAAUAAGCUCCGGCUAACUACGUGCCAGCCGCCGC